Henosepilachna vigintioctopunctata is the source of this 64-nucleotide non-coding RNA. NCBI's taxonomy places the organism in Eukaryota, Metazoa, Arthropoda, Insecta, Coleoptera, Coccinellidae. The record is from the annotation of a GenBank genome assembly.
ACCUCGGUAGCUUAUUUGGUAGAGCAACAGGGCGUAAACCUGGGUUCGUAUCCCAGUCGAGGUU